RNAcentral lists this ribosomal RNA (252 nucleotides) under uncultured bacterium. RNAcentral describes it as "partial 16S ribosomal RNA". It matches the Rfam family "Bacterial small subunit ribosomal RNA", at positions 526 to 779 of the family's 1533-position model. The record is from RNAcentral.
CGGAGGGUGCGAGCGUUGUCCGGAUUUAUUGGGUUUAAAGGGUGCGUAGGCGGCCGUUUAAGUCCGGGUGAAGCCCGUUGCUCAACAACGGAACUGCCCUGGAUACUGGACGGCUUGAGUACAGACGAGGUUGGCGGAAUGGACUGAGUAGCGGUGAAAUGCAUAGAUACAGUCCAGAACCCCGAUUGCGAAGGCAGCUGACUAGGCUGUUACUGACGCUGAGGCACGAAAGCGUGGGGAGCGAACAGGAUU